GACGAACGCUGGCGGCGUGCUUAACACAUGCAAGUCGAACGGAAAGGCCCUGCUUUUGUGGGGUGCUCGAGUGGCGAACGGGUGAGUAACACGUGAGUAACCUGCCCUUGAAUUUGGGAUAACUUCAGGAAACUGGGGCUAAUACCGGAUAGGAGCUCCUGCUGCAUGGUGGGGGUUGGAAAGAUUCGGCGGUUGGGGAUGGACUCGCGGCUUAUCAGCUUGUUGGUGGGGUAGUGGCUUACCAAGGCUUUGACGGGUAGCCGGCCUGAGAGGGUGACCGGCCACCAUGGGACUGCGAUACGGACCAGACUCCUACGGGAGGCAGCAGGGGGGAAUAUUGCACAAUGGGCGGAAGCCUGAUGCAGCAACGCCGCGUGCGGGAUGACGGCCUUCGGGUUGUAAACCGCUUUCGCCUGUGACGAAGCGUGAGUGACGGUAAUGGGUAAAGAAGCAACGGCUAACUACGUG
This 468-nucleotide ribosomal RNA is filed under the name uncultured bacterium. RNAcentral describes it as "partial 16S ribosomal RNA". It matches the Rfam family "Bacterial small subunit ribosomal RNA", at positions 28 to 507 of the family's 1533-position model. The record is from RNAcentral.